Cadophora malorum is the source of this 95-nucleotide non-coding RNA. The record is from the annotation of a GenBank genome assembly. NCBI's taxonomy places the organism in Eukaryota, Fungi, Ascomycota, Leotiomycetes, Helotiales, Ploettnerulaceae.
AGCUUUGUGGUGCAAUGGCAGCAUGUACAAUCUCUAUCUAAUAUUUCCGGAUCUGAGACAGUUGUGAGAUACGGGUUCGAUUCCCGUUAAAGUUC